GCCGGGGUCCAGGCAGCCGCGGACGGGGUUCCCGUUCGAGGAAAGUCCGGGCUCCACGAAACGAGGGUGGCGGGUAACGCCCGCCCGCCGCCGCCCCGCGCGGCGGUGAGGGACAGUGCCACAGAGAGCAGACCGCCGAUGGCUUCGGAGACACGUCCGGCGCACAGGCAAGGGUGAAAGGGUGCGGCAAGAGCGCACCGGGACGCUGGCAACAGGGUCCGCACGGCAAACCCCACCCGGAGCAAGGCCGAAUAGGAACGGCGCGUCCGCAUCCGUCCACCUGGACGAAGGCGGGCAGGGGAGUUUCGCCCCGAGGCCGUUCGGGUUGGCCGCUAGAGCGCGAGGAGCGAUCCCGCGCCCAGAGGAAUGGCUGCCCGUGCCGCUUUGCUAAGCGGCAUGACAGAACCCGGCUUACGCGGACCCCGGCACCA
This 431-nucleotide RNase P RNA is filed under the name Erythrobacteraceae bacterium CFH 75059. Its description in RNAcentral is "Bacterial RNase P class A". It matches the Rfam family "Bacterial RNase P class A". From Rfam's summary of the family: Ribonuclease P (RNase P) is a ubiquitous endoribonuclease, found in archaea, bacteria and eukarya as well as chloroplasts and mitochondria. Its best characterised activity is the generation of mature 5'-ends of tRNAs by cleaving the 5'-leader elements of precursor-tRNAs. The record is from Rfam by way of RNAcentral. Lineage: Bacteria; Pseudomonadati; Pseudomonadota; Alphaproteobacteria; Sphingomonadales; Erythrobacteraceae.